This 358-nucleotide small nuclear RNA is filed under the name Nannospalax galili (Upper Galilee mountains blind mole rat). Its description in RNAcentral is "7SK RNA (ENSNGAG00000007357.1)". It matches the Rfam family "7SK RNA". Rfam says of the family: 7SK was discovered as an abundant small nuclear RNA in the mid-70s but a possible function has only recently been suggested. Two independent studies have found that 7SK RNA binds the CDK9/cyclin T complex (known as elongation factor P-TEFb). Lineage: Eukaryota; Metazoa; Chordata; Mammalia; Rodentia; Spalacidae. The record is from RNAcentral.
GGAUGUGAGAGGAACCUGGCUGCUGUGUCUAUCGCCCCAUUGACCACCAGAUUGAUUGGCCAGAUUCAGCCAAUCUAACUGACUAGUUGAGUGUCUCCUUCCUCCUUCAGUGUUCAGUACAUACCCCUCCUGACGCUGUGCACUAGGUUGAGGAGGAUGACCUUUCCAAUAGACAAGAACCACACUCAGUUGAAGGCGAUGACCUUCCCUGACAGAGGAAGACCAGUCUUCCAUCAGGGUAUAUGAUUAGCUAUGCUCCUCUGAUAGAACCUCCAAACAAGUUCUCAAGAUUAACUUCAAAUGUCACCAUAACCACAAAGCUUAACAAGGAAUAUAUUUGGGGCAUUGUUUCGUUUAU